Long non-coding RNA from Ostrea edulis (European flat oyster), 1840 nucleotides. RefSeq lists it as uncharacterized. The transcript has 4 exons. Lineage: Eukaryota; Metazoa; Mollusca; Bivalvia; Ostreida; Ostreidae. The record is from RefSeq and is a predicted model, not a curated record.
GAUGUAAACAAGAUAAUCCGCCAAAAUGGGAGAACAAAGACAAAGGGAGAAAAGCCUGUAGAUAAAGGGAAAUAGUGACCCCAGGAUCAUGAGCAUGGGGCCCAGGCUAUGCCGAACUUGUAUAUGACCUACUUGCAUUGAACGAUUGGUGCUAGAUGUAAACGGUGUACACACUCGGUGCCUAGAGAGUCUAAGACGUGUAGUGGACUCAAUGUUUCUGCGACUUGUAACUGAGUGCCAACUUGCAUCAACCUAAUGUGUGGUUAUUUCAUCAAGGGCGGAUCUAAAUUUUCAAAGUUGCAGGCAAUGAGGCUCCCUGAGAGUGCGAGAGAUCAUACAUGCAUUAUGGCCCGUCAGUCCUGAGACUCGCAAACUAGUGUGUAAGAGAAAGCAUCUGAUCCAACAAGAAGAUCGUGUGGACACUUGCAGAGUUGUCAUUUUGAAAUGGCAACCAAUGCCCUCUGACAGAAGAUGUAUACCAGAACUCACAUUCGAGAUACUUGAUAGCAGAAGCUUUGGAUAAGAGUUGCCUUGGAGAUGAUUAUUGACGAAAUACCUAGUUUUUGAAAAAACAAUGCAUUAUAGGAAAUACGGAACUUAUAUUAAGUCACAUUAGCACUAUAUUGUACCUUUUUGUUAGACACUAAACAAUUUUUCAGAACACUUGUUUUUUGUGAAGUGAAGCACUAAUAUACGUUCAUGUGAAGUUCAUCGCGAAUGAUCAUCUGACAUAUUCUGAUAUACUCGACAUUUAACAAUUGUUUCUGUUGAGUCUGUUAUAUUAUAUUUACAACAACAGUAAUCUCAUAAAAUAAAUUCACGAUCCAGUGAUCGAACCACUAGACUGUUACAAUGAUAUGUAUUUUUGCUAUGCAUACAUUAUGUGAUAUUAUGUUUAUGGAUUCCUGUAUUGUUGGAAACACAGUUGGCAGUCUAAAAAAAAAUAUGUUUAUGCAUAAAUGAUUCGGGCAAGGACAACAUAUAUUCACAAAUGCGAUUCAUUUACUUAACGUAAGGCACUGUUUUGACUUUAUCACGGCAUCAUGUACAUGAUACCGCUUUGUGAAGUCAGCACACACUUGUUCAAGUGUGAAGCUUGACACAUAGAGCACAUGGUAUUGACACAGCCACUUCAUCACCAAAUACACAAUACCGCUUUGUGAAGUCAGCACACACUUUUUCAAGUGUGAAGCUUGACACAUAGAGCACAUGGUAUUCACACAGCCACUUCAUCACCAAAUACACAAUACCGCUUUGUGAAGUCAGCACACACUUUUUCAACUGUGAAGCUUGACACAUAGAGCACAUGGUAUUCACACAGCCACUUCAUCACCAAAUACACAAUACCGCUUUGUGAAGUCAGCACACACUUUUUCAACUGUGAAGCUUGACACAUAGAGCACAUGGUAUUCACACAGCCACUUCAUCACCAAAUACACAAUACCGCUUUGUGAAGUCAGCACACACUUUUUCAAGUGUGAAGCUUGACACAUAGAGCACAUGGUAUUGACACAGCCACUUCAUCACCAAAUGCAUGAUACCGCUUUGUGAAGUCAGCACACAUUUGUUCAAGUGUGAAGCUUGACACAUAAACACAUUCAAUUUAUCCAAUAUACAUGUUGAUACAUAUUCAUAAUUUUUGUUUUUACAUUUCUAACAUAACGUGUCCACCUUCAUGAUUAUGUUCAUUAUUGGCACACUUUUUCAUGCAGUGUGUUUUUGUUAUUUUAUCUUCCAAAGCUGCAAUGUACAAAUAUUAUUUCUAUUUUUUUAAAAAACAUAUUUUACCUGGUAUUUGUAUAAUCCAUAUUCAAAUUUAGUAUUAAAGUUUAAAAAUUUC